Molecule: ribosomal RNA, 440 nt
Filed under: uncultured bacterium
Lineage: Bacteria
Description: partial 16S ribosomal RNA
Rfam family: Bacterial small subunit ribosomal RNA
Source: RNAcentral
CCUCCGGGAGGCAGCAGUGGGGCAUAUUGCACAAUGGGGGAAACCCUGAUGCAGCGACGCCGCGUGAGUGAAGAAGUAAUUAGUUAUGUAAAGCUCUAUCAGCAGGGACGAAAAUGACGGUACCUGAGUAAGAAGCAACGGCUAACUACGGUCCAGCAGCCGCGGUAAUCCGUAGGUGGCAAGCGUUGUCCGGAUUUACUGGGUGUAAAGGGCUUGCAGCCGGGAAGACAAGUCAGAUGUGAAAUCCCGCGGCUCAACCGCGGAACUGCAUUUGAAACUGUUUUGCUUGAGUACCGGAGAGGUCAUCGGAAGUCCGUGUGUAGCGGUGAAAUGCGUAGAUAUAAGGAAGAACACCAGUGGCGAAGGCGGAUGACUGGACGGCAACGGACGGUGAGGCGCGAAAGCGUGGGGAGCAAACAGGAUUAGAUACCCCGGUAGUC